Molecule: long non-coding RNA, 2394 nt
Filed under: Homo sapiens (human)
Lineage: Eukaryota; Metazoa; Chordata; Mammalia; Primates; Hominidae
Description: HSALNT0125894
Source: RNAcentral
UUUUAAACAAAUAAAUCUUUUAAAAGUUAAGUUAUAAAUAGCAUAUCUAUGUCCUUAUCCGUAUGUGAACAUAUUAAUGCUAUCUCUUCACACACACACACAAAAUUCCAUUUGGAAAGUCCUAAUCAAAAUAUCCAUCUCGACAUGACGUAUCUUCCUGACCCAAGGACUAAACACAAAGUCUAGUGAAGAACUAGCUAGAGAGAAGUUUCCUCUUUCAGUAAUCCUUGGAUGAAGAGGCAGUUUUCAAAAGGCCUCUCAGCUGUUGGUAAGUGGCUUUAUUUCUGAACCUUCUGGAGACAUUUCUUUAACAGAUUCAGCAGCCAUGCCCUGCCACUUAUUAAGUACAGGGCAAAUACAACAAAAAACAAAGGUGAUAAGGCCAGAACUAUGGGUUGAACUGUGUCCCCAAAAUUCAUAUGUUGAAGUAAUAAACCCCAGUACCUCAGAAUGUGGCCUUAUUUGAAAAUAGGGUCACUGCAGAUAUAAUUAGUUCAAAUGAGGUUAUAAUGGAGUAGGGCACCUAAUCCAACAUGACUGGUGCCAUUAUAAAAAGGGGAAAUUGGAUGCAGACACACAAACAUAGGAAGAACACCAUGUGGAGAUGAAGGCAAAGAUCGGCCUGAUGCUUUUACAAGCCAAGGAACACCAAAGAGUGCCAGAAAACCACCGGAAGUUAGGAGAACAGAUUCUUCCUCACAGUCCUCAGAAGGAACCAAGCCCACAGACUUCUUGAUCUCAGAUCCUAGCCUCCAGAACUGUGAGGCAUUACAUUUCUGUUGUUUAAACAGCCAGUUUGUGGUAUUUUGUUAUAGCAAAACUUGAAAACUAAUAAAGCCAGUAAGUGCAUUUCCUUCUACAAUCUUACAAUUUAGUAGAAGGGAUACAGGAGAUAUUCACUAACACUUAAGGCAGUGAUGAGUGCAUCACUUGUAUAAUCUAAUUUAUUUAUCAGAACUUAGUACCAUUAGCCCAGUUUUACAGAUGAGAAGACAGAAUAAUUUCCCCCGAAGGAACUGCAACCACAUCCCGCUUCAAGUUCUGUCUGGCUCUGCCUGUUUUGGGGUCUGUGAUCUUUAACCACUAUGCAAACUGCCUCCUGAACCACAGCAUGAUGUGAAAUAGAAAUGCCAUGGAGAAAGGACUGAAAUACAAGCAGCUGCAAUGUUCUAUUGCAAGCAAUCCGGAUUGGUGAUAUGCUGGAUCCUACUUUCCUCUCUCGAAGCCCAGGGGGAAAGAGUUUCCUGCUGUUCAUCUCCUGGUGGCCAGGGCACAGACAGGAUCUGGGGAGUCAGACUGGUCGCUCCUAACUCAGGCUUUGUCUUUGGAUCCUUGGAGUCAGAGCUGAGAAAAAAGUUAGGAUUCAUUUUGGAGGAAAACGCAGUAGCAGCAGUGACGCCCAACAUCCUGGCAAGAUUGUUCCAGAGGCCCAGUGUUCCAGAGCUCCCUCGGUCCCCACGCUUUUUCAAACCUGUUCCUUCUGCCUCCUGUUGAUUCUGUGAGUACCAGAUUUCCUUCCAAUAAAUCCCACUAGAGGCGUUGUCAGCACCAGAUUUCCUUCCAGUAAGUCCCACCAGAGAUGAUGCCUGCUGCAUGCAACCAGAACCCUCAACGACACAAGGCGACCCUCUGUGAAGAGAGGGGUUUGUGUUUUACGAGUCCACUGGGUUCUUGCUUUCCUCAGCCCUCUUAGGGCUUGCAAAACUUUGGGAUAAGAGGAUCUGAGCUCCUGCCAGAGCCCUUGAUGCUCUGCUCCUGACAUUUCAUGAGAGGACUGUGGCUCCUCCAUCUGCCACCUCAGGAAGACCGCUAAGGCUGGCUCGGGUGGAGAGUGAAGGCAGGGAGUGGACAGGACCAUUUCACUCCAUCCUUCUCAGCUCCAAAGGGCAUCCUCCUGCUGCCCAUAGCAGAAGGCACAAAGCAAUUACCACUUUGACUUUGAAUUGAAUGGGCCAAUGACUGCAAGAUGCACAAUUAUUUUAUAUACCACUGAGAAAGACGAUUACUGCUAUUAAACUAUAACACAUCAUCAAUUUUAAUGUGAAAAUUGUGAAUGUUAGAAAUGAUCAAAUACGUUGUGGCUUAUGAAAUGAAUAGAAACAAGCUUCCAAGAUGUAAACUGGCAAGGACACAGAGGCAAUUCUAAAUCAAGCUUACUAGUAUACUAUUAUUGGAGAAUAGACUUGGAGAGAUAUAAAGACCUGAGUUUUUCUGUUUUGUUUUGUUUGUUUGUUUUUUUGGAUAUGUUCUUUUCAACUUAAGAACAAAUGCCCUGGCCACUUUUAUAUAAUUCCAUGUAUGGAUAUUCAGAUGGUGAUUCUUCUUAUAACAUAUUUUUAAAUUUUUAAUAGAAAAAGGCUUAACCCCUUCAAGUUCUAUUAAAGUUUUAAAAAA